CACGGCUAUAUCAGCCAACUCACACAACAACAAACACAUUCACACACACAACACCUAAAACACACACACACUUCACGCCAUUUUCAUUUUAGCUUGAGCUCAAGCUUUUGACUUCCGAUUUGAGCACCGAGACGAGCGCCGAUCAUCUUUUCGAUCACGUAUCUAAGUAGGUUGAGCUGAUGUGAUGAUGGUGCUGCAAUGAGCGGAGUCUCCAGGGUUGUUAAUAAAUAGUUAACCUGUCUAGAAUAUGUCUUCAUACAUAUGUCUAGCUACUUUCCGCUGCAAGAUGUUGUUGAUGUUAUAGUAUGUUAUGUCAUACUUUGAGUCUUAAGAGAAUGGUUUCAUAUGAUGUAUAACUUGAUUAAUGAUAUUAAUUAAGUUUUAUGCUGUC
Long non-coding RNA from Salvia miltiorrhiza (redroot sage), 391 nucleotides. RefSeq lists it as uncharacterized. The transcript has 2 exons. The record is from RefSeq and is a predicted model, not a curated record. NCBI's taxonomy places the organism in Eukaryota, Viridiplantae, Streptophyta, Magnoliopsida, Lamiales, Lamiaceae.